GCCGGGAUGGCAGAGUGGACUGGGAAGCCACAUAGGAAUGCGCGGGCCUUGAGAGCCCGUGACCCUUCGGGGUCUCGGGGGUUCGAAUCCCCCUCCCGGCA
RNAcentral lists this transfer RNA (101 nucleotides) under Candidatus Nitrosopumilus sp. Its description in RNAcentral is "Nitrosopumilus sp. tRNA-Ser". It matches the Rfam family "tRNA". From Rfam's summary of the family: Transfer RNA (tRNA) molecules are approximately 80 nucleotides in length. Their secondary structure includes four short double-helical elements and three loops (D, anti-codon, and T loops). Further hydrogen bonds mediate the characteristic L-shaped molecular structure. tRNAs have two regions of fundamental functional importance: the anti-codon, which is responsible for specific mRNA codon recognition, and the 3' end, to which the tRNAs corresponding amino acid is attached (by aminoacyl-tRNA synthetases). tRNAs cope with the degeneracy of the genetic code in two manners: having more than one tRNA (with a specific anti-codon) for a particular amino acid; and 'wobble' base-pairing, i.e. permitting non-standard base-pairing at the 3rd anti-codon position. RNAcentral also lists the same sequence under 2 other names. The record is from RNAcentral. Lineage: Archaea; Thermoproteati; Nitrososphaerota; Nitrososphaeria; Nitrosopumilales; Nitrosopumilaceae.